CAGUCGUAUCUGCGGGUAAUCAGCCUUCUGGGCAUGAUUCUGUGGAGCGUGAGGAGUUAAACGCCUUCAUGCCUGCAUAUUCGUGUACUUUGGGUGUACUUGCCUGUGUGGUUAGUUAACAUCAAUUUUGGUUAUCAUAAAUGGCUGGAGGAAUGUAGCUUCGAUCUCGUUAUUGAAGUUGUUAUAGCCCUUCGGCAGAUGGUGAUGAUCGAG
RNAcentral lists this ribosomal RNA (213 nucleotides) under Rhizophagus intraradices. Lineage: Eukaryota; Fungi; Glomeromycota; Glomeromycetes; Glomerales; Glomeraceae. The record is from RNAcentral.